AGAUCCUUCUCCCAAGAGCUCAUGUAUGAGGGAAUUUCCUUGUCUACUAGGUUCAUAAGUGAGGUGUAACAAAAAGAUAAUGCUUUGAUACCCUUUAGUUUUCCUUGGCACUUGAGGAGAAAUCGUGGCGAUGGGGAUUUCCUGCCUCUAUGUAGUUUAUGAUCAUGUAAGAUGUUUUUUAUGCGUAGGUAUGUGAAUAGUUCCCUAGACGGGAGGGUGAAG
This is a non-coding RNA of Pelobates cultripes (western spadefoot toad), 222 nucleotides long. NCBI's taxonomy places the organism in Eukaryota, Metazoa, Chordata, Amphibia, Anura, Pelobatidae. The record is from the annotation of a GenBank genome assembly.